ACCCCAGGUCAGGCGGGACUACCCGCUGAAUUUAAGCAUAUCAAUAAGCGGAGGAA
RNAcentral lists this ribosomal RNA (56 nucleotides) under Sicyos longisetosus. Its description in RNAcentral is "partial 25S ribosomal RNA". Lineage: Eukaryota; Viridiplantae; Streptophyta; Magnoliopsida; Cucurbitales; Cucurbitaceae. The record is from RNAcentral.